AACUGUCUGUGACACUGCAGUAGUCCUUGAUAUUUGUGAAAGAUGCUGUGCACUUGUCGUGGAUGUAACAAUACGAUACGAAGCAGCCAAAUCAUUGCUGGAGGAAGCCGCUGCAGAGAAAGUGAACAAGUACAAACACCUAGAAACUGAAGUAAGAAAUCUCACCAACGCAAAGGACGUUGUUUUUGUGGGCUUUCCCCUAGGAGCGCGGGGGAAAUGGCACCAAGAUUUACUGGCCUGCAGCAAAAGAAAAGGUAGAAUUAUGCAAAUUAGCUGGGAAAGAUGCCCAGACAGAUUGUGCCAAUUUUAACCGUGUUCUUCAGCCGUACAACUGGACCCAUGUUUAUGUCUGUGGCACAGGAGCAUUUAACCCUCUGUGUGGAUACAUUAAACUUGGAAUUCACUAAGAAGUAAUUUAACUUUCUCACUAGUGUGACAUGUCAAGGAAUAGCCCUCAUCUUGUUUAGCAUUCAUCAUAGAUUGGAAAAUUGUUGGAAUCUGUGGGUAUUGAUGAUUCCGAGAUUGUAGAAAGUCUCUUUCUGCCCCAUUGCCAAAGAAG
Taeniopygia guttata (zebra finch) is the source of this 559-nucleotide long non-coding RNA. RefSeq lists it as uncharacterized. The record is from RefSeq and is a predicted model, not a curated record. Lineage: Eukaryota; Metazoa; Chordata; Aves; Passeriformes; Estrildidae.